This 1251-nucleotide ribosomal RNA is filed under the name metagenome. RNAcentral describes it as "bacterial SSU rRNA". It matches the Rfam family "Archaeal small subunit ribosomal RNA", at positions 190 to 1445 of the family's 1478-position model. The record is from RNAcentral.
AAAGCUUCGGUGCUUAAGGAUAAGUCGGCGGCUGAUUAGGCUGUUGGUGGGGUAACGGCCCACCAAACCAAAGAUCAGUACGGGCCUUGAGAGAGGUAGCCCGGAGAAGGACACUGAAAUACUGGUCCUAGCCCUACGGGGUGCAGCAGGCGCGAAACCUUUACAAUGCACGAAAGUGUGAUAAGGGAAUCCUAAGUGCUUAUGCUUUGCAUAGGCUUUUGCCAAGAGUAAAAAUCUUGGCGAAUAAGUGGUGGGAAAGACUGGUGCCAGCAGCCGCGGUAACACCAGCGCCACAAGUGGCAAUCAUUUUUAUUGGGCCUAAAGCGUCCGUAGCCGGUUCAGUAAAUCUUUUGUGAAAUCGUUGAGCUCAACUUAGCGGCAUGCAGAGGACACUGCUGAACUAGGAACCGGAAGGAGUCAGAAGUAUUACUGGGGGAGCGGUAAAAUGUUAUAAUCCCAGUAGGACUACCUGUGGCGAAAGCGUCUGACCAGUACGGAUUCGACGGUGAGGGACGAAAGCCAGGGGAGCAAAACGGAUUAGAUACCCGAGUAGUCCUGGCCGUAAACGCUGCGAGCAAGGUGUUGCGUAUUCUUCGAGAAUACGCAGUGUCGAAACGAAGGUAUUAAGCUCGCCGCCUGGGAAGUGUGGUCGCAAGACUGAAACUUAAAGGAAUUGGCGGAGGAGCACCACAAGGGGUGCGGCGUGCGGUUUAAUCUAAUUUAACGCAGAGAAUCUCACCAAAAGCGACGGCAGAAUGAAGGUCAGUCUAAAGGGCUUACCAAACGAGCCGAGAGGUGGUGCAUGGCCGCCGUCAGCUCGUGCCGUGAGGUGUCCUCUUAAGUGAGGCAACGAGCGAGACCUGUACCUACAAUUGCCAGCGAGUCCAUCGGAUGAUCGGGCACAAUGUAGGGACUGCCUUGGAAACAAGGAGGAAGGUGCAGGCAACGGUAGGUCUGUAUGCCCCGAAUCUUUUGGGCUACACGCGCGCAACAAUGGUAGAGACAAUGGGAUACAACUCCGUAAGGAGAAGUUAAACCUCCAAACUCUACCCAAGUUCAGAUUGAAGGCUGUAACUCGCCUUCAUGACGAUGGAAUCCCUAGUAAUUGGACCUCAUCACAGUCCGGUGAAUAUGUCCCUGCUCCUUGCACACACCGCCCGUCAAACCAUCCGAGCAGGGUUUAGAUGAGUAUUAACUUUUUGGUUAUUCCGAAUCUAAGCUCAGUGAGGAGGGUUAAGUCGUCACAAGGUA